GGACAAAGGCAAGCGCCGGGACCAGCCGGCCCGCCGUUUAUGCCCGGGUGAGCCAGGAGGGCCAUCCAGGCAGGCGGGUGCCGGAGGGUUGACGAGGCGGGGGUUGAUCGAGGCAUCGGCGGGUGCCCCCCGGUCUGGUUACGACCGUCAAAGGCGCUACAAAACCCGGGAGUAAUCCCGGGGACAAAGGGCGCCGGGUAACCCUUU
RNAcentral lists this non-coding RNA (207 nucleotides) under Neomoorella glycerini. Its description in RNAcentral is "Moorella glycerini GlcN6P sequence". It matches the Rfam family "glmS glucosamine-6-phosphate activated ribozyme aptamer". Rfam says of the family: This entry contains a glucosamine-6-phosphate activated ribozyme that is found in the mRNA for GlmS. GlmS is an enzyme that uses fructose-6-phosphate and glutamine to generate glucosamine-6-phosphate. Lineage: Bacteria; Bacillati; Bacillota; Clostridia; Neomoorellales; Neomoorellaceae. The record is from RNAcentral.